Puntigrus tetrazona (Sumatra barb) is the source of this 2468-nucleotide long non-coding RNA. RefSeq lists it as uncharacterized. The record is from RefSeq and is a predicted model, not a curated record. Lineage: Eukaryota; Metazoa; Chordata; Actinopteri; Cypriniformes; Cyprinidae. The transcript has 2 exons.
GUGUGUGUGUGUGUGUGUGCGCGUAUUUUUUUAUUUUUCAACAGAAUAAGUUUUUACACGCAUAUCCAACCUGUUUGAGUUUAAUUAGCACUGACUCGACACACCCUCAUGUGACCACCUGUACCGGUUUUUCCUGAAGAUGCGCCGCAGGCUCAUCGGCCCAAAAAGGGUAAACGACGAGAAAUAAAGCAAAGCCUAUAGAGCCGCUCUCACGCAGUCGACGCACCUCUUCACUCUCACCGAGGAGAACGCUUGAGAGCCGUCCGGGGGCCGUGUUUCGACGCGAGGCGAGCGCUCGGGACGCCUCUCUCAGGUGUUGCGCGAAGCCCGGACCCUCUGAGCUGCAGUGCGCAUUGCUAGGAAUCGUGGCUGAGAUGAGCAGCAGGAUUUCAGUCAUUGUUUCUAGUAGUGGGCGCUGCAGAUAUUCGGCUCCUCGAGCACAGUGAAAGCCGCUGGAUGGCGGCAGAGCGCGAGGAGAGCGGCGCAGGAGAACACGUGAGGAUCCGCGUCGUUCACACCCGCAAGUAACCGUGAAAAUCUCCGGCAUGCAGGUGAACCUGCCCGGGAGAGGAGGAGGAGGAGGAGGAGGAGGAGGCUGGCGUUCACACUUCCUCAUUCACUUGUAAUUGAGGCCCUUGUGCAGAAAAUAACCACAGCGGAAUUUGCGUUUCAUCAUAUGCGGCCAGUGGAGUUGUCGAGGGUCAGUGACAAAGACGAUGAAAACGAAACGAAAGCUCAUUGCGGCCGCAUGCGUUUGAACUGUUUUUCCACAAUGGUUUCGAUUUAACGACAAACAUGGCAGUUUGCCGUUUUAAAACCACUUUCGAUUAAAAAAAAAUGCUUACACUUGAGCAAGGAGGCCCGUCAGGGUUGCCUCUGAUGUCAUUUCCUGGUCUGUCACGUGACAAUAAAACGAAAGCGUGAGGGGGGGGAAAAACUAAACGCUUCCUUGUUACUGAUAAGCGUUUAUAGGCCUCGGAAGAACCGAAGUCUGUAAAUGAUCGUCGUUUACUCGCUGCUUUUAUGAACAAAUAAUUGCAUAUUAAUAAAACAAUGAAUGUCCCAAACCUGCCGGCUCCAGCCGAGUGAUUCAUUUAGGCAAUUUGCAACAAGCUUCUUCUGUAUUCAUUUGUUUUUCAUCCACUCAAAUGAAUGUUUUCUGUAUUAAACUUUUUUUUAGUCGCACUGUGGUGACAUUUGCUUAAAAGGCAAAGCAAAAAAGUUUACUGAUCUUUUUAUAUAUGUAAUAUUAUUUAACUGUGUGUGUGUGCGCGCGCGCGUGUGACAAUAUCGGUCAGCAAGUUUAUCUAAAUGAGACACUGGCUCACAAACGCGCGUCCUUUAAAAGUCAUUUAUUUGGUAUUUACAGUUGGCCAGUGGAAGCUAUGAGAAUGUGCAAGAUACAAACACUUUCGCCGGCCGCAAAACCGUUUCCAGCAGCAGCUGAUUGUGAAACAAACCGGCGUGGACCUCGUCUCUGUCGCGUAUCGGGUGCUAAAAGUUCAGUUCGUUUGUGUUUGUUUACAGCAAUACUUGGUUAAAAUCCCUGAAUGUUGAACGACAUUUGGCACAAAACCCCAUCCAGCCAAUUAGUAUCAGAAUUGCGACGUACAAUUAUGUUUUUCGACUACUACGCGCGCCGGAUCGACACCGCACUGAAAAAGAGAGAGAGAUAUAUAUAUAUGCACAUUCAUCACUAAAACACACACGUAAAGUGAUUCGAAACUGUAAUACGACUGCACAAGAAAAAUGGUCUCAAAUCACCUUUUAAGCGUAGCAGCGCGGCAACAGAAGAGAUUUUCCCUACGUGUUUAUUGGACGCGUUUCAGGCCACGCCUUUCACCGGAACGCACCGAAUGAAUCGUUCUCGAGAGCAGAAGCGGUCGGACGCCGGUCGUAUAGAGGCACUAAUGCGAUACAAAAAGUAGCUGCUGUCUUUAGUCGUAUCUGUACAGGAUGCUACAUGGAGCCCGCGCGAUCGUAUUCCCGUUCCCAAAAGGCCGAGCGGAACGCGAUCCCUUUAAAACGCAUUUAUUUUGACAGGAACACGGAACGCGAGCGAUGACUGAGCAGUAAGGAAAGAAAACAAAUGCCCUUGUAGAGUGAUGAGCGUGCGGCACUUUCCAUAAAGAGGUGCAAAAUCGGUCUGUUUCAAGGGAAAGUUAAACAAGACAAAAAAAAAGAAAAACAUUAGAUAAGCUAGUUUUAUUAUUUUGUGGAAUGUUAAAAGCAUCGUAAUACUGUCGAAUCUAUUUUAAAUACUGAACAAUUGGUUUCCGGUCCCCAGCUAGAGAGCUUCAACUGAAUUAGAAGUUAUUGUUUAGGUUUAUUGUUUUUUUAAUUUUUGCUAUUUUCUAUUUGCUUGAAAUAAACAAGCUGGCAAAAGAUAUCACGUUACACACAAACUAAAAAAACAAAACAAAAGCUAUACAAACCAAAGCAAUAAAAGAAAUGCAAAAAAAAAAAAA